Molecule: ribosomal RNA, 433 nt
Filed under: uncultured bacterium
Lineage: Bacteria
Description: partial 16S ribosomal RNA
Rfam family: Bacterial small subunit ribosomal RNA
Source: RNAcentral
AACGAACGCUGGCGGCAUGCCUAACACAUGCAAGUCGAACGAGACCUUCGGGUUUAGUGGCGCACGGGUGCGUAACGCGUGGGAACCUGCCCUUAGGUUCGGAAUAACUCCCCGAAAGAGGUGCUAAUACCGGAUAAUGUCUUCGGACCAAAGAUUUAUCGCCCUUGGAUGGGCCCGCGUUGGAUUAGCUAGUUGGUAGGGGAAAAGCCUACCAAGGCGACGAUCCAGAGCUGGUCUGAGAGGAUGAUCAGCCACACUUGGACUGCGACACGGCCCAGACUCCUACGGGAGGCAGCAGUGGGGAAUAUUGGACAAUGGGCGAAAGCCUGAUCCAGCAAUGCCGCGUGAGUGAUGAAGGCCGUAGGGUUGUAAAGCUCUUUUACCCGGGAUGAUAAUGACAGUACCGGGAGAAUAAGCUCCGGCUAACUCCGUG